This 261-nucleotide ribosomal RNA is filed under the name uncultured bacterium. Its description in RNAcentral is "partial 16S ribosomal RNA". It matches the Rfam family "Bacterial small subunit ribosomal RNA", at positions 334 to 609 of the family's 1533-position model. The record is from RNAcentral.
AACUCCUACGGGGGGCAGCAGUGGGGAAUAUUGGGCAAUGGGCGCAAGCCUGACCCAGCAACGCCGCGUGAAGGAAGAAGGCUUUCGGGUUGUAAACUUCUUUUAUCAGGGACGAAGCAAGUGACGGUACCUGAUGAAUAAGCCACGGCUAACUACGUGCCAGCAGCCGCGGUAAUACGUAGGUGGCAAGCGUUAUCCGGAUUUACUGGGUGUAAAGGGCGUGUAGGCGGGAGUGCAAGUCAGAUGUGGAAACUAUGGGCU